UACGUAGGGUGCGAGCGUUAUUCGGAAUUACUGGGCGUAAAGCGUGCGCAGGCGGUUUUGUAAGCCAGAUGUGAAAUCCCCGGGCUUAACCUGGGAAUGGCAUUUGGGACUGCAAGGCUGGAGUGCGGCAGAGGAGACUGGAAUUCCUGGUGUAGCAGUGAAAUGCGUAGAUAUCAGGAGGAACACCGAUGGCGAAGGCAGGUCUCUGGGCUGACACUGACGCUCAUGCACGAAAGCGUGGGGAGCAAACAGG
Molecule: ribosomal RNA, 253 nt
Filed under: uncultured bacterium
Lineage: Bacteria
Description: partial 16S ribosomal RNA
Rfam family: Bacterial small subunit ribosomal RNA
Source: RNAcentral